This 774-nucleotide ribosomal RNA is filed under the name uncultured Neocallimastigales. RNAcentral's name for it is "partial large subunit ribosomal RNA". It matches the Rfam family "Eukaryotic large subunit ribosomal RNA", at positions 22 to 648 of the family's 3401-position model. Lineage: Eukaryota; Fungi; Neocallimastigomycota; Neocallimastigomycetes; Neocallimastigales. The record is from RNAcentral.
CUAUACAUGACUCUGCGCAUAUCAAUAAGCGGAGGAAAAGAAACUAACAAGGAUUCCCCUAGUAACGGCGAGUGAAGCGGGAAGAGCUCAAAUUUGAAAUCUUCAAGGUUUUACCUUGACGAAUUGUAGUUUAAAGAAGUGUUUUCGGUUAGAGGAGUGGUAAAAGUUCUUUGGAAUAGGACAUCAUAGAGGGUGAGAAUCCCGUAUUUGGUCAUUCUUUCUAGCUUUGUGAUACACUUUCAACGAGUCGGAUUGUUUGGGAAUGCAGUCCAAAAUGGGUGGUAAAUUUCAUCUAAAGCCAAAUAUUGGCGAGAGACCGAUAGCGAACAAGUACCGUGAGGGAAAGAUGAAAAGAACUUUGAAAAGAGAGUUAAACAGUACGUGAAAUUGUCAAAAGGGAAGCGUUUGACACCAGUGUUGUUUUUCCCGAAAAUCAAUUACGAAUGUUUUGUUUUGAGAAGUUAUGACUUCAUCGGCUUGCUUCUCUCUUUACGAAACUUUCUUAAUGCACUUUUCGGUUAACAAGUCAACAUCAAUUUCUUUUGUUGUAAAAGGGUAUGAGGAAGGUGGCUUUCUUUUCGGAGGAAGUGUUUAUAGCCUUGUGCCUCUGCAAUCGGAGAGAUUGAGGUCUGCAGCGUAGAUCCUUCGGGGUUAGAUACGUUUGUGCUAAGUUAUAGCUUUUCAUAGACAACUUGUUGACUAUGUUUAGUCUUGUAGCUUACUCGCUGACGCUAUUUUACCUACGCUUAGGAUGUUGACGAUCAGCUGAGCGCG